GACGAACGCUGGCGGCGUGCUUAACACAUGCAAGUCGAACGAAGUGGCGAACGGGUGAGUAACGCGUAAUCAACCUGCCCUUCAGAGGGGGACAACAGUUGGAAACGACUGCUAAUACCGCAUACUGAAGGAGGGGAUGGCGUCGGAUUAGCUAGUUGGAGGGGUAACGGCCCACCAAGGCGAUGAUCAGUAGCCGGUCUGGAGGGAUGGACGGCCACCUUGGGACUGGGGCACGGCCCAGACUCCUACGGGAGGCAGCAGUUGGGAAUCUUCCGCAAUGGACGAAAGUCUUACGGAGCAACGCCGCGUGAGUGAUGGCGGCCUUCGGGUUGUAAAACUCUGUUAAUCGGGACGCGGUACCGAAAUAGAAAGCCACGGCUAACUACGUGCCAGCAGCCGCGGUAAUAC
Molecule: ribosomal RNA, 408 nt
Filed under: uncultured bacterium
Lineage: Bacteria
Description: partial 16S ribosomal RNA
Rfam family: Bacterial small subunit ribosomal RNA
Source: RNAcentral